ACCCCCGUGGCUCAACGGAUAGAGCGCCGGGUUGCGGGCCCGGAGGCUGCGGGUUCAAGUCCCGCCGGGGGCG
Molecule: transfer RNA, 73 nt
Filed under: Chloroflexota bacterium
Lineage: Bacteria; Bacillati; Chloroflexota
Description: Chloroflexi bacterium tRNA-Arg
Rfam family: tRNA
About the family: Transfer RNA (tRNA) molecules are approximately 80 nucleotides in length. Their secondary structure includes four short double-helical elements and three loops (D, anti-codon, and T loops).
Source: RNAcentral